Molecule: unclassified non-coding RNA, 416 nt
Filed under: soil metagenome
Description: partial contains 5.8S ribosomal RNA, internal transcribed spacer 2, and large subunit ribosomal RNA
Rfam family: 5.8S ribosomal RNA (bases 1-120)
Source: RNAcentral
GAUGAAGAACGCAGCGAAAUGCGAUAAGUAAUGUGAAUUGCAGAAUUCAGUGAAUCAUCGAAUCUUUGAACGCACCUUGCACUCCUUGGUAUUCCGAGGAGUACGCCUGUUCGAGUGUUAUGAAGCUCUCAAAACGCAAUUGGCUUAAAACCUGAUUGUUGUUUUGGAUUUGAACUUUGCCGUGUUAUAACGGCUGGUUUUAAAAGUAUUAGCUGGUACUAGAACGAAUUGGUUCUACUCCACGUGAUAAUUAUCUGAUCGUUGAGGACAUUCCUUUCACGAGGAAUGGCCAUAGUAAAUUCAAUGGACUGCUUCUAAUCUUGCUUUAAUUCUUUAUUGGAUUAACCACUUUUCAAAUCUGACCUCGAAUCAGGUGGGACUACCCGCUGAACUUAAGCAUAUCAAUAAGCGGAGGA